CUAAAAAGGUAAGAAAUCUCUCUCGAUUUGAGCCUUUUACCUAUAUUUAUGGACAUAAACUCAUGGAAAAUGCUUCUGAAAUUCUAUAAAUAUCCCUUAUUUAACCAACUAAAAUGAACAACAACACAUAAUUAAUUAACAUUUGCUCACAAAAAAAAUUAACAUUUGCUCACAUAUUGGAGAGGUUGAGGCGACAAUGUCUAUAUUAUGUCCAGGAAAGCAAGAAUGGCCAGAAUUACUAGGAAAAGAUGUUGAAUUUGCUAAAAAGGUGAUAUUGAAAGAGAAUGAAAAUGUGACUUGGGUGCUCAUUGCGAAGAAAGGAGAUUAUGUGAUUCCGGAUUAUUUUUGCUAUAGAGUUAUUCUUUGGAUUGAUGAACAUGCAAUUGUUUUCCAAGUGCCUCUAAUUGGCUAAUUAACUCCUUAUUUGAACAAUAUGAAGUGUUAUAAACCUUCAUCAAUAAAAUUAUAAUAUUAUGUUACUA
Spinacia oleracea (spinach) is the source of this 482-nucleotide long non-coding RNA. RefSeq lists it as uncharacterized. The record is from RefSeq and is a predicted model, not a curated record. NCBI's taxonomy places the organism in Eukaryota, Viridiplantae, Streptophyta, Magnoliopsida, Caryophyllales, Amaranthaceae. The transcript has 2 exons.